AUCUCUCCGAUUGCCUAGUGGUUAGAAUGUCCGCCUCGGAUGCGGGAGGUCGCGGGUUCGAACCUCGGUUGAGUCAUA
Potamilus streckersoni is the source of this 78-nucleotide non-coding RNA. The record is from the annotation of a GenBank genome assembly. Lineage: Eukaryota; Metazoa; Mollusca; Bivalvia; Unionida; Unionidae.